This 781-nucleotide long non-coding RNA is filed under the name Ictidomys tridecemlineatus (thirteen-lined ground squirrel). RNAcentral describes it as "lncRNA (ENSSTOG00000029626.1)". The record is from RNAcentral. Lineage: Eukaryota; Metazoa; Chordata; Mammalia; Rodentia; Sciuridae.
AGCUGUCUUUCUGCUUCCCUCCCAGGUCCCCCAUCUCCCAGGUCCUGGUUGCACCCUGUGGGUACCUGCUGCACCCUGGCUUGGAAGGAUGGGUAUAAGGAGGGUGAGGAAGGAAAGGAAUCUGACCGCCUCCUGUUUCAGCCCCCAGGACCUCUCAUGCAGCAACAAAGGUGAGAGAGACCACUGGAGCCUCCACCAGGCAAAGCAAGGCCCAAGAUCAUCACAGCUCCUACCACUAAGCUCCCAUCUUCUUAACACUUUCAGUGACAAAAGGGAACGUCCACACGACACGCUGUCGAGUUGAGGUGCGGAGUGGUCGAAGGGGAGCGCGGGUGCUGCCCACGUCUGUGUGGCAAGCAGCAUAGUCACUUUUCUACAUGGAACACAACUUUUACUUGAGAAAACCUCCCAAGCUGUGGUUAUUCUGACUUAAGAAUUUGGAAGCUAUUUUCUUGAGAAUCAACUAAAUGCACCUGUGGUCCUCAGGAAGUCAGUCAACUGUUGCCAAUGACGAAAAUAUUCAGACUUUGAAAGAAGCUUAGAAUUUUGGAAAACUUGUACCAUCAUGAGUUGACACAUUCCCAGCAUUUAGGGACUUUUCUCUUGAGAUCAAUGGUGAUGUUAGGGAAAUGUGAUUUUGGAUGAUGUACAACAGGUCAACGUUUGGAGGACCUACGUUUGCUCAGCGAACUAUUACUUUCAGAUAGCUCAUGUACAACGUUACAAAAUCAUAUGUGGGAAAAGGUCCAUUUAAAAUACAAGGCAGACAGUGUUUUGCUUU